UUGGUGCAUGGGAAGAGGGCCUCAUCUCCAGUUGAGGCAGGAACCUCAGGGUUCCUCUGAUUUCAGACUCCGAUCGCAGGGUCCCUGCAGACUUGGGUCAGGAGAGUCAGGCCUGGUCUUGGGUUGAGGCAUGGAACUCCGCUAGCCUCUCGAGGUGUUCACGGGGUGAGAGGCCACUUGUCGAGCUGUAUUUGGAACCUGGGGGUUUUUCCGGACGAUGCACGGGCGAGUCACUGCCCCUUCGUGUUGACUUCAUUCACAGGGUGGAGUUCGAAGAGGUGUCCGGGCAUCGGGUUCUUAUCAAGAGGGGACCGGGAAAUCGGGGUCCUUCGGAAUGUGAAACCACCCACGAGGCCACGUCUGGAAUGUCGUCGUGAGACCGGCCUCAUCCUGAGGUGCGACCGGAAAGUCGGGAACCCCUUCCAGACAAAGCAGGGGAUGCGACCCUCCUGUCCAGAUCAGGAGGUUAGAAGAGGCUC
Molecule: long non-coding RNA, 479 nt
Organism: Bos taurus (domestic cattle)
Lineage: Eukaryota; Metazoa; Chordata; Mammalia; Artiodactyla; Bovidae
Source: Ensembl